GGGGUUGUAGCUCAGUGGUAGAGCACUUGCCUGGCAUGUAUGAAGCACUAGGUUUAAUCCUA
RNAcentral lists this transfer RNA (62 nucleotides) under Ictidomys tridecemlineatus (thirteen-lined ground squirrel). RNAcentral describes it as "Spermophilus tridecemlineatus (thirteen-lined ground squirrel) tRNA". It matches the Rfam family "tRNA", at positions 1 to 62 of the family's 71-position model. Rfam says of the family: Transfer RNA (tRNA) molecules are approximately 80 nucleotides in length. Their secondary structure includes four short double-helical elements and three loops (D, anti-codon, and T loops). The record is from Rfam by way of RNAcentral. Lineage: Eukaryota; Metazoa; Chordata; Mammalia; Rodentia; Sciuridae.